This is a long non-coding RNA of Parus major (Great Tit), 270 nucleotides long. RefSeq lists it as uncharacterized. The record is from RefSeq and is a predicted model, not a curated record. The transcript is spliced from 2 exons. NCBI's taxonomy places the organism in Eukaryota, Metazoa, Chordata, Aves, Passeriformes, Paridae.
GCUGCGGCAGCCUCGGGGCUGUGCCCAUUCCCUGGGGAGAUGCCAAAGCUGCUGCUGGUGUAUCUGAGCGCUGGACAGAGCAGAGAGAUGCAGGAAACAAGUGAAAGCUCAGAGUCAUUGAAGAUGAUCGGCAUCUUUCCACAUGAAAUAACCUGGGAACAUGCUUAUCUCAUCUAGGAUACCUGCACCACAUCAUUCAACUAAAAGUUCUUCAGUACAAGAAGCCAGGCAAAUUAAACAAUGCACUGAUAAUAUCAAAGCCUCUUAAAA